This 466-nucleotide ribosomal RNA is filed under the name uncultured Hyphomicrobiales bacterium. RNAcentral's name for it is "bacterial SSU rRNA". It matches the Rfam family "Bacterial small subunit ribosomal RNA", at positions 8 to 507 of the family's 1533-position model. Lineage: Bacteria; Pseudomonadati; Pseudomonadota; Alphaproteobacteria; Hyphomicrobiales. The record is from RNAcentral.
AGAGUUUGAUCCUGGCUCAGAACGAACGCUGGCGGCAGGCUUAACACAUGCAAGUCGAGCGCCCCGCAAGGGGAGCGGCAGACGGGUGAGUAACGCGUGGGAAUCUACCUUUUGCUACGGAAUAGCUCCGGGAAACUGGAAUUAAUACCGUAUGUGCCCUUUGACGGUGGACGUUGGAGGGGAAAGAUUUAUCGGCAAAGGAUGAGCCCGCGUUGGAUUAGCUAGUUGGUGGGGUAAAGGCCUACCAAGGCGACGAUCCAUAGCUGGUCUGAGAGGAUGAUCAGCCACAUUGGGACUGAGACACGGCCCAAACUCCUACGGGAGGCAGCAGUGGGGAAUAUUGGACAAUGGGCGCAAGCCUGAUCCAGCCAUGCCGCGUGUGUGAUGAAGGCCUUAGGGUUGUAAAGCACUUUCACCGGUGAAGAUAAUGACGGUAACCGGAGAAGAAGCCCCGGCUAACUUCGUG